This 468-nucleotide ribosomal RNA is filed under the name uncultured bacterium. RNAcentral describes it as "partial 16S ribosomal RNA". It matches the Rfam family "Bacterial small subunit ribosomal RNA", at positions 28 to 507 of the family's 1533-position model. The record is from RNAcentral.
GACGAACGCUGGCGGCGUGCUUAACACAUGCAAGUCGAACGGAAAGGCCCUGCUUUUGUGGGGUGCUCGAGUGGCGAACGGGUGAGUAACACGUGAGUAACCUGCCCUUGACUUUGGGAUAACUUCAGGAAACUGGGGCUAAUACCGGAUAGGAGCUCCUGCUGCAUGGUGGGGGUUGGAAAGUUUCGGCGGUUGGGGAUGGACUCGCGGCUUAUCAGCUUGUUGGUGGGGUAGUGGCUUACCAAGGCUUUGGCGGGUAGCCGGCCUGAGAGGGUGACCGGCCACAUUGGGACUGAGAUACGGCCCAGACUCCUACGGGAGGCAGCAGCGGGGAAUAUUGCACAAUGGGCGGAAGCCUGAUGCAGCAACGCCGCGUGCGGGAUGACGGCCUUCGGGUUGUAAACCGCUUUCGCCUGUGACGAAGCGUGAGUGACGGUAAUGGGUAAAGAAGCACCGGCUAACUACGUG